Microplitis mediator is the source of this 526-nucleotide long non-coding RNA. RefSeq lists it as uncharacterized. The record is from RefSeq and is a predicted model, not a curated record. Lineage: Eukaryota; Metazoa; Arthropoda; Insecta; Hymenoptera; Braconidae. The transcript has 3 exons.
GAGGUAGCACCUGUCUCUCCAUGACACUUUGAACCUUCGGGGAUUUAUUUCAUUGUCAUUAAAUGUACUUAUGGCUCCUUUGAAAGCUUUAGCUCCGCGACUUAAACUACUCGCUUACUAAAUAUCUCUUUUGCUACUAUCAACCUGCUAUCUUCAAGAACGAACCUCUUACUGCUGCUUUACUUUACAAACUUUAUCGAGCCUUCUAAAAGGCCAAUGACAGCCUCUCUAUCAAAACUAAAAACGUGGAGCUGUUAGCAGUAGCAAAAAUGCGAAAGUCAAAUGAGUUUUCAUGAGAAAUUUGAAGCUCAUAACAUAGCGACUGGAACCGAGUCUGGUUCCAAAGUAAAUUCUCUACUUAUGUUGAUUGAGAAUAUGGCUGGCGUUUAAAAAAUUGAAUGAAAAAUGACCCCAGCAUUGGCGAAAAAAUAUAGCGAAUGCUGAUUAGAAGACCGAAAUAUUUUGCUGGGUUUUUGCCUGCUGAGACACAGGCGUGCGAGUAACUUGAAGCUGUACACAAACUCAU